Pyrus x bretschneideri (Chinese white pear) is the source of this 643-nucleotide long non-coding RNA. RefSeq lists it as uncharacterized. Lineage: Eukaryota; Viridiplantae; Streptophyta; Magnoliopsida; Rosales; Rosaceae. The transcript has 4 exons. The record is from RefSeq and is a predicted model, not a curated record.
CAUGUAGAGAGCUAGAACUAGAAGGACAGUAAAAUGCUCGAAUAAUGGAACAGAAUUGAGGUUAUGCCCGAGAUAUGAUAUUACAGUAAUAACUGCAAAUACAAGUUGAGAGGAAGAUCAUAUUCCUUUUGUGGUGCAGCUGGAGUUCGUUAUCGUCUGCGCCGAUCAGAGCCCAUUGAAACGCAAGAAGAGAUUGAAAUUGGGGAAUGCUCACUGAGGCUGGUAAGUCAAAGAAAGCUAAGAAAUAGAAAAAGAAGGAUGGUAAUUCAUUUGAAACUCGAGAAGAGAUUGAAAUUGGUGAAAUGCUCACUGAGGCUGGUAAGGAAAUGAAACUGGAAAUUGUGAAGCAGAUCAGGAUCCUCUCCUGAGCUUAGGAGGUUGAGCCUCCUGAGUAAAUCCAUCGGACCGUUGAAAUUUGAUCCAACGGCUACAAACAAAAGGCCCUCUAAAAGUUAUAAUAAUUGUAGCCGUUAGAUCAAAUUCACUGAUCCGCCAUUUUGGACUCAAUUUUGGAUAUAUGUGCAUGUGCAUUUUAGCCACAUCACCAUCAUUCUCAAAUUCAUGCAAAAUGUAUAUAGCUUGGAUUUAGAAAUCCGCCAUUUUGGUUGUACAUAGAAUGCAAAUUGAAAAACUUAUUUUACCA